GUGGGGAAUUUUGGACAAUGGGCGCAAGCCUGAUCCAGCAAUGCCGCGUGCAGGAAGAAGGCCUUCGGGUUGUAAACUGCUUUUGUACGGAACGAAACGGUCCGGGUUAAUACCCUGGGCUAAUGACGGUACAGUAAGAAUAAGCACCGGCUAACUACGUGCCAGCAGCCGCGGUAAUACGUAGGGUGCAAGCGUUAAUCGGAAUUACUGGGCGUAAAGCGUGCGCAGGCGGUUUUGUAAGACAGGCGUGAAAUCCCCGGGCUCAACCUGGGAAUUGCGCUUGUGACUGCAAGGCUGGAGUGCGGCAGAGGGGGAUGGAAUUCCGCGUGUAGCAGUGAAAUGCGUAGAUAUGCGGAGGAACACCGAUGGCGAAGGCAAUCCCCUGGGCCUGCACUGACGCUCAUGCACGAAAGCGUGGGGAGCAAACAGGAUUAGAAACCCGAGUAGUCC
RNAcentral lists this ribosomal RNA (450 nucleotides) under uncultured bacterium. RNAcentral describes it as "bacterial SSU rRNA". It matches the Rfam family "Bacterial small subunit ribosomal RNA", at positions 354 to 796 of the family's 1533-position model. The record is from RNAcentral.